Molecule: ribosomal RNA, 429 nt
Filed under: uncultured bacterium
Lineage: Bacteria
Description: bacterial SSU rRNA
Rfam family: Bacterial small subunit ribosomal RNA
Source: RNAcentral
GUGCCAGCAGCCGCGGUAAUACGAAGGGGGCAAGCGUUGCUCGGAAUCACUGGGCGUAAAGGGCGCGUAGGCGGACGUUUAAGUCAGAGGUGAAAGCCCGGGGCUCAACCCCGGAAUUGCCUUUGAUACUGGACGUCUUGAGACCGGAAGAGGUAAGUGGAACUGCGAGUGUAGAGGUGAAAUUCGUAGAUAUUCGCAAGAACACCAGUGGCGAAGGCGGCUUACUGGUCCGGUUCUGACGCUGAGGCGCGAAAGCGUGGGGAGCAAACAGGAUUAGAUACCCUGGUAGUCCACGCCGUAAACGAUGGAUGCUAGCCGUUGGACAGCUUGCUGUUCAGUGGCGCAGUUAACGCGUUAAGCAUCCCGCCUGGGGAGUACGGUCGCAAGAUUAAAACUCAAAGGAAUUGAGCGGGGGCCCGCACAAGCGGU